Molecule: non-coding RNA, 236 nt
Organism: Linepithema humile (Argentine ant)
Lineage: Eukaryota; Metazoa; Arthropoda; Insecta; Hymenoptera; Formicidae
Source: RefSeq, a predicted model, not a curated record
CUUCGGAAGAAUAUCAGAAGAGAAAAUUAAGCUUGCUGCAAAAGUUGGUGGAUCAUAUUAUGGAAAAAAAAUAAUCAUUUGAAAAGGUUGCUCGACGAAUGAUGAUAUGUCCAAUUUCUACGGGACAUAAAACAAUAAUGAGCAAUAGUGCAGAAGCGCAUUAUUGGGAUCUCCAUGGCAGACAGCUACAUAGUGCAAACGAGGCUACACUGUCAUCAAGUUAACGAAAGAGUGCU